Long non-coding RNA from Homo sapiens (human), 2913 nucleotides. Ensembl annotates it as AFG3 like matrix AAA peptidase subunit 1, pseudogene. Its record names the gene AFG3L1P. NCBI's taxonomy places the organism in Eukaryota, Metazoa, Chordata, Mammalia, Primates, Hominidae. The record is from Ensembl.
GAUCUGGGUCUGGGGAUGUGGUACCGGCUGCUGGCGGCGGCCGGCAGUAGAGCGGUGGCCAGGCCGCUGGCCUUGCUGUGGCGAUGUGGUGGCCCAGGAGGCGGCAGGACGGCCAAGACCAGCGCGAGGGCCCUGGGCAAGGCCCGACAGGGUUUGAGAAAUACUUUAAGAGGAGUGGAAGGAACACAAACUGAGAAACAUCAACAGCACCAAAAAAAGAGACUGGUGAACUAGAGAAUGCUGAGUCUGGAGGAGACGGAGGCAGGAGAGGAGGGAAGCAGGAUAACGUUGCCUGGUGGAGGCGGAUGCAGAAGGGGGGACUUCCCCUGGGAUGACGAGGAUUUCCGCAGUCUGGCCCUUUUGGGGGCAGGCGUUGCCAUGGGAUUUUUCUACCUCUAUUUUCGAGAUCCUGGAAGAGAAAUCACGUGGAAGCACUUUGUACAGUAUUACCUGGCCAGAGGUCUGGUGGACCGGCUGGAAGUCGUGAACAAACAAUCUGUGCGUGUUAUUCCUGCCCCUGGGACCUCUUCUGAAGUGAGGGGUGAAUUUAAGGCUGAGUAUUGCAGACAUAAGUUUAUUUCGUACGUAGCUGGGUGCGAAGAAUCAAAUUGGAAAUUAUGGAAUUUGUGAAUUUCCUGAAGAAUCCCAAGCAGUAUCAGGACUUAGGAGCAAAAAUUCCAAAGGGAGCCAUGCUCACUGGUCCUCCUGGUACCGGCAAGACCCUUCUUGCCAAAGCAACUGCAGGGGAGGCCACUGUGCCCUUCAUCACUGUGAACGGGUCUGAGUUCCUGGAAAUGUUUAUUGGCGUUGGGCCAGCAAGGGGUUCAACUCUGCCACCAACGUCGUGGUGUUGGCUGGCACCAACCGCCCUGACGUCCUGGACCCGGCCCUCAUGCGGCCUGGCCGGUUUCAUCGCCAGAUUUACACUGGUCCCCCUUACAUUAAAGGCAGGUCCUCCAUCUUUAAGGUCCACCUGCGCCCACUGAAGCUGGACAAGAGCCUCAAUAAGGACACCCUGGCGAGGAAGCUGGCAGUGCUCACCCCAGGCUUCCCUGACGGGGAUGACUCAGCACUACCCCUCAACAGAGAUGACUUUGAUGACUCUGCCCCUCAGCAGGGCUUACUAAGCACUACCCCUUAACAGGGAUGACUCCGCACUGCCCCUCAACAGGGAUGACUCAGCAGAGAUGACUCAGCACUGUCCCUUAGCAGGGAUGACACAGCAAGGAUGACUCAGCACUGCCCCUCAGCAAGGAUGACUCAGCACUGCCGCUCAACAGACAUGACUCAGGGAUGGCUUAGUACUGCCCCUCAGCAGGGAUGACUCAGCACCGCCUCUCAACAGGGAUGACUCAGCAGGGAUGACUCAGCACCGCCCCUCAACAGGCAUGACUCUGCAGAGAUGACUCAGCACUGUCCCUUAGCAGGGAUGACACAGCAAGGAUGACUCAGCACUGCCCCUCAGCAAGGAUGACUCAGCACUGCCGCUCAACAGGGAUGACUCAGGGAUGGCUUAGUACUGCCCCUCAACAGGGAUGACUCAGCAGGGAUGACUCAGCACCGCCCCUCAACAGGCAUGACUCUGCAGAGAUGACUUAGUACUGCCCCUCAGCAGGGAUGACUCAGUACUGCCCCUCAGCAGGGAUGACUCAGCACUGCCCCUCAACAGGGAUGACUCAGCAGGGAUGACUCAGCACUGUCCCUUAGCAGUGAUGACACAGCAAGGAUGACUCAGCACUGCCCCUCAGCAAGGAUGACUCAGCACUGCCGCUCAACAGACAUGACUCAGGGAUGGCUUAGUACUGCCCCUCAGCAGGGAUGACUCAGCACCGCCCCUCAACAGGGAUGACUCAGCACUGCCCCUCAACAGGGAUGACUCAGCAGGGAUGACUCAGCAGUGUCCCUUAGCAGCGAUGACACAGCAAGGAUGACUCAGCACUGCCCCUCACCAAGGAUGACUCAGCACUGCCGCUCAACAGACAUGACUCAGGGAUGGCUUAGUACUGCCCCUCAGCAGGGAUGACUCAGCAGGGAUGACUCAGCACCACCCCUCAACAGGGAUGACUCAGCAGGGAUGACUCAGCACUGCCCCUCAACAGGGAUGACUGCAGGGAUGACUCAGCACUGCCCCUCAGCAGGGAUGACUCAGCACUGCCCCUCAGCAGGGAUGACUCAGCAGGGAUGACUCAGCACCGCCCCUCAACAGGCAUGACUCUGCAGAGAUGACUCAGCACUGCCCCUCAGCAGGGAUGGCUCAGCAGGGAUGACUCAGCAUUGCCCCUCAACAGGGAUGACUCAGCAGACUCAGCAGGGAUGACUCAGCACUGCCCCUCAACAGACAUGACUCAGCAGGGAUGACUCAGCACCGCCCCUCAGCAAGGAUGACUCAGCAGGGAUGAUUCAGCAGAGAUAACUCGGGGAUGACUCUGAUUGUCCUUCAGCAGGGAUGAGUCUGUUUUGCUCCGAUGGAAGCAUCUGUAGUGUCCAUCAGCAGGUGAAUGGCCAAAGUGGUAUAUACUGUAGUCACAUUCAGCUAUAAAAAGGAAUAAAGUAUCGAUGCAUGCCACAACAUGGGUGAACCUAGAAAAUACUGAUCUAAAUGCAAGAAGCCAGGCACAAAAGGCCACAUAGUAUAUGUUCCCAUUUAUGUGAAAUGUGCAGAAUAAUAAUAAAAAUGUAUAGAAUAGCAAAUCUGUAGGGACAGACAUGAGGUGAGUGGUUGCCAGAAGUGGAAAUGGGAGUUAACUAUAAAUUGCACAGGGUACCUUACAGAGAUGAUGGAAAUGUCCUAAAACUAGAUUAUGGCAAUAGUUGCACUACGUGAUCAGUUUAUUAAAAAUCGUUGAUGUGUGUGUGUAAAAUGGGUGGAUUUUAUGGUUUAUAAAUUAUACCUUAAUAAAGGUUAACAAAAAA